GAGCCAGCCGCCGAAGGUGGGACAGAUGAUUGGGGUGAAGUCGUAACAAGGUAGCCGUAUCGGAAGGUGCGGCUGGAUCACCUCCUUU
This 88-nucleotide ribosomal RNA is filed under the name Heyndrickxia coagulans. RNAcentral describes it as "partial 16S ribosomal RNA". It matches the Rfam family "Bacterial small subunit ribosomal RNA", at positions 1446 to 1533 of the family's 1533-position model. The record is from RNAcentral. RNAcentral also lists the same sequence under 6 other names. Lineage: Bacteria; Bacillati; Bacillota; Bacilli; Caryophanales; Bacillaceae.